RNAcentral lists this ribosomal RNA (390 nucleotides) under Acinetobacter baumannii. RNAcentral describes it as "partial 23S ribosomal RNA". It matches the Rfam family "Bacterial large subunit ribosomal RNA", at positions 2203 to 2592 of the family's 2925-position model. Lineage: Bacteria; Pseudomonadati; Pseudomonadota; Gammaproteobacteria; Moraxellales; Moraxellaceae. The record is from RNAcentral.
CCCUGGUAAUGUUGAGGUUCUAACUCUGUCCCGUGAUCCGGGACGAGGACCGUGUCUGGUGGGUAGUUUGACUGGGGCGGUCUCCUCCUAAAGAGUAACGGAGGAGUACGAAGGUGCGCUCAGCGUGGUCGGAAAUCACGCGUAGAGUAUAAAGGCAAAAGCGCGCUUAACUGCGAGACCCACAAGUCGAGCAGGUACGAAAGUAGGUCUUAGUGAUCCGGUGGUUCUGUAUGGAAGGGCCAUCGCUCAACGGAUAAAAGGUACUCUGGGGAUAACAGGCUGAUACCGCCCAAGAGUUCAUAUCGACGGCGGUGUUUGGCACCUCGAUGUCGGCUCAUCUCAUCCUGGGGCUGAAGCAGGUCCCAAGGGGAUGGCUGUUCGCCAUUUAAA